Maylandia zebra (zebra mbuna) is the source of this 470-nucleotide non-coding RNA. The record is from the annotation of a RefSeq genome assembly. Lineage: Eukaryota; Metazoa; Chordata; Actinopteri; Cichliformes; Cichlidae.
GGCUCCUCCUUCUAAUCCACCAACUUAGUGUUGAUGAAGACUAAACAGAGAGAUCACAGCUUCUUUAUACUUGCUGUAGCUCACAGUUACUCUACACUGCAGAUAUGACGCCUCUGUUCAUCUCAGUGCUGCUGGCUGCUAUGUGCCUCGAAUGCAGAGCACAAAAAGACAACGUGCUGCAAGCAAAAGGAGAAGAGACUGCUGCUGCAGGAGGCACAGUAACACUUGACUGUCUCUAUAACACCAGCAGUUUAACAGGUACUUCUCUCUUCUGGUACAAACAGGAUGGAAACAACAGCCCCGAAUUCAUCCUGAUGCGCUAUAGUGGGGAUGAUGGAAACACAGCAGACGAGUUCAAGGAGAGAUUUUCCUCCACACUGGAUUCCAGCAUCAGAUCAGUUCCUCUGAAGAUCCAGAAGCUUCAGCUGUCAGACUCUGCUGUGUACUACUGUGCUCUGCAGCCCACAGUG